RNAcentral lists this ribosomal RNA (713 nucleotides) under uncultured Bacteroidales bacterium. RNAcentral's name for it is "bacterial SSU rRNA". It matches the Rfam family "Bacterial small subunit ribosomal RNA", at positions 28 to 733 of the family's 1533-position model. Lineage: Bacteria; Pseudomonadati; Bacteroidota; Bacteroidia; Bacteroidales. The record is from RNAcentral.
GAUGAACGCUAGCGACAGGCUUAACACAUGCAAGUCGAGGGGCAGCACGAUGUAGCAAUACAUUGGUGGCGACCGGCGCACGGGUGAGUAACGCGUAUGCAACCUACCUAUCAGAGGGGAAUAACCCGGCGAAAGUCGGACUAAUACCGCAUAAAACAGGGGUUCCACAUGGAAAUAUUUGUUAAAGAAUUAUCGCUGAUAGAUGGGCAUGCGUUCCAUUAGAUAGUUGGUGAGGUAACGGCUCACCAAGUCCACGAUGGAUAGGGGUUCUGAGAGGAAGGUCCCCCACACUGGUACUGAGACACGGACCAGACUCCUACGGGAGGCAGCAGUGAGGAAUAUUGGUCAAUGGGCGAGAGCCUGAACCAGCCAAGUCGCGUGAAGGAUGAAGGAUCUAUGGUUUGUAAACUUCUUUUAUAUGGGAAUAAAGUGAGGAACGUGUUCCUUUUUGUAUGUACCAUAUGAAUAAGCAUCGGCUAACUCCGUGCCAGCAGCCGCGGUAAUACGGAGGAUGCGAGCGUUAUCCGGAUUUAUUGGGUUUAAAGGGUGCGUAGGUGGUUAAUUAAGUCAGCGGUGAAAGUUUGUGGCUCAACCAUAAAAUUGCCGUUGAAACUGGUUGACUUGAGUAUAUUUGAGGUAGGCGGAAUGCGUGGUGUAGCGGUGAAAUGCAUAGAUAUCACGCAGAACUCCGAUUGCGAAGGCAGCUUACUAAA